ACCAAGAGAUCGGGAUAACACCUGGAAACAGAUGCUAAUACCGGAUAACAACAGAUGAUGCCUAUCAACUGUUUAAAAGAUGGUUCUGCUAUCACUCUUGGAUGGACCUGCGGUGCAUUAGCUAGUUGUGGGUAACGGCCUACCCAAGGCGAUGAUGCAUAGCCGAGUUGAGAGACUGAUCGGCCACAUUGGGACUGAGACACGGCCCAAACUCCUACGGGAGGCAGCAGUC
This 232-nucleotide ribosomal RNA is filed under the name uncultured Lactobacillus sp. RNAcentral's name for it is "partial 16S ribosomal RNA". It matches the Rfam family "Bacterial small subunit ribosomal RNA", at positions 129 to 355 of the family's 1533-position model. Lineage: Bacteria; Bacillati; Bacillota; Bacilli; Lactobacillales; Lactobacillaceae. The record is from RNAcentral.